RNAcentral lists this transfer RNA (20 nucleotides) under Drosophila fascioloides. RNAcentral describes it as "partial tRNA-Lys". Lineage: Eukaryota; Metazoa; Arthropoda; Insecta; Diptera; Drosophilidae. The record is from RNAcentral.
CUUCAUAAGAUGACUGAAAG